CGCGCACACCGCCCGCCUGCACGGCAUCCCGGAAGAAAAUAUGACUGUAACAGAAGAUUUUAGUAGAGUAGAAAAUACUUACCAAAUGGAAGCAGAGCUCCUUGAACUGGGAGCAAAUGCAAGAUCUGCUUAGGCCACAGUUGCAGAGCACCUGGAUUUUGGUCUGUUCUGUACAACUCUGCCAUCAGCUUGCUCUAAGUAAAGUAAAGGUCUGUAUCAUAUUCAGUGAUUUUGGAAAAAUGCAGAAUGUUUGCAAUCUACUCAUUGAAAAGUUAGGAACCUCUGUUACCAUCAAUCCACCUCAUUUCUACCAUACACCAGAAGCCAUAGACUCACUUCGGCCCAAUGAUGAUCUGCUACCACCCUUUUUCCUUCACAAGUGACAAUGAAACUCCAAGAGAAGAAGAGACAAGUUCAGAACAUAAUGCUACCUCCAACAACCACGGUCCCUGGAAAGAGCUAAGGCGGCUUCUUUGUGUGUAUAUACAUGAAUCUUCCAACAAAGAAGUACCUAUGAAAACAAAUCCUGGGCCAGGGAAUAUGGGCCAUGAUAUUCGCUGCUGUUCAUAAACAUUCCUGCCCAAAGUAACCCACAAUCUAAACACAAAAAAGUGAUGGAUGAAUACAGAUGGAGUUUAUGAAGCAAUCAGUAUCGAUCAAUGAACAGGCAGUGGCCUCUGCUCAGUGAUUUCAUGAAGAUCUGGAAGUCAGAGGAAGGCUAGGAAAAGUUGGGCUGAAAACCCAGCCGAUGUUUUGAGGGAUUUACAAGGACCAAGUUCAGUAAGCUGCAGCCUAAAAGUCAGAAGGCAUUUUGCUAAGUGCUUGUGACAUGAUAGGCAAAGGCAAUUAAACCUCAAAACCAGCAAAAGACGCUUGCCAUUGCUCUUGAAAUUAAAAACAAUAAAAAUGAACACAAGGCUGUGACAGCAGAACAGUAUAAGGUACAUAAAAAGAAUCAAUGUCUGCUGAGAAAUUCUUGGGGGUUCAGCUGGUGAUAACAGUACUGAGGGGAGGAAAGAAAGCAAGGAUGCAGGUGUUUUAGAAGCCAAAGAUGAGGGACAGUUGGAUAAAACUACAUCAGGGAAGGAACCAAAUGCACAAAAUGGGACAAUGUCAGUUCCCAGCUGAACAUGAAUUUUCUGCUAUAGGCGAAGAUUUUCAUGUUUUCCUCAUUUUCACUCCUCUGACUUAAAAAUUAGUGUCUUCCUGCCACUUAAGCAGCAUGUCAGUGGCAUGCAGAGUAUGCAGCACUGCAUUACCAGUUUAGCACUGUCAACAAAGGUUUAGCAUCAGAUUUUCAAAUACAAGGACUUAAGCAAAAGAAAUUUAAAGGCUUCAAGAAUUCUAACAAAAAUGUGUUUUUAAAUAGAUUUACACUCCAAGUAACCAGAUCCUCAAAAACAUUGCUUUUUCACUGAAACUGAUUAAACACAGAGGAUUACUUGCAUUUCUUAAGUGCAGUGAAGAUUCCACCAAUUAUGGAUAACCAGAUAAAGGACUUAACAGCUUCUCAAUUUUAGUGACAUGGCAGGAGAAAUCCAUUCAGACAUCAUAGGUUGACACUGUUAUUUCAAAUAAAACACUGUGUAUAAAAAGUGAGUAGUUAUAAUUUGAGAUAUGUCCAGUGCCCUGACCAGCAAAGCUUAGCCACUCAGUGGUGUAAAAGCCAAGCUAUACUGGGACCACAGUGCAGAAGCAGCAAAGGUACCACUCAGCUGCACAGGUGAUGCAGAACUCUGGAGUAUUUCCCACUAGGAUGGCAGGAAGUUGGUCUGCAACAGUGUUUCUGAGGGUAUUUUAACCUGAGUUAUUCUGUGUAUAUAUUAAUAAAGCAAGAGUUUAGUACAUUCAGACCUGUUUCACUGGAGGAUAUCUGGGUUGUAGUUGUUCUUCUGGAGUGUUAGCUUUUACAUCCCAUCCAACAAUGACUCCUGAGUAGCCAAAUCUUCUGUGAAUUAUUACCUGGCCCACACAGAAUUUAAUAUAUUCAGGCUUUGGACUGUGAGCAUGAGCUGAUUCUAAUUUAACAAAGAAAGAGACUUAGCAAAGAUAAAAGUUUGGUCAGCUAUAUUAAGUAUUUUAACAGAAAUUAUUCUGACUUCUACAUGAAGAGAACUGAUAAUUAGAUGAAUAGGGGAAUUAAAGAAGAACAGGUGCUUUGUUUGUUUCCCCCCAGAAUAUUAAUUACUAUAAUUUACAAAGGAACAUCCACUAAGAAACUUUUCUAUUUGUAUGCAUUUGAUAUUACAUAGGGAUUUUAACAGAGUUUUAGAAAGCAUUAACAUGUGUGUGCAUUGACAGUUACUUAAGCCUUACAUACAGUAUUUUACGGUGCUGACUUGUGGUAACUUAUUGUGACAUUAUUUUUUGCCAGUUUAGGUCACAGAAUUCUUCUAUUCAGUCUGAUUAGGGACUUUUUUCCAGGAAUAAAGUGGUCAUCUAUUUCUUUUUUCUUCCUUCAAAAUACAUACACUGAGGUAUUCAGUAAAAUACAUACAUAUAGUUACAUCAUAUUGAUACUAUUACACAACACAGGGAAGAGGCCUUGGAUUUUAUGUUUACUGAAUAUUAUCAAUCAUGUUUAGAGACACGAAAAAAGGAAAACAGUAUGCCAUUUACAAAUUAAGUAAAAAAAUCCACUAUAGAAGCCUUGUAGACAACAUCAUAAAUAAAUUAUGAAAUUGCAAAAACUUCAAUACCUGCAAGAUAAGAACGGGGUUUUACUUCAUUGGCACCGCUUUUAGCUUUGUUCUCUCCAUAGUACCAAUUCCUAAAAUGUAAAAUUAAUAACUCAACAUACAAACAAGUUCUUUAGAAGCUGAGUUUUAAUAAUAAUCAGAAGGUUAAUUAUCCUGAGUGGGAUACUGCAAAGCCUUUGAUACAAACUUCUUUACAAUUUGAAGCCUGCAUGAAUUUUACAUAAAAACACUUUUAAGGAAUACACAAGAAAAAGGAAUUUGUUCCAACAGGAAAAAAAGAGUAUGAAUCUCAUUUCUUUGAAUAUGUUACUCUACAGUUGCAUUAGAAUUUUUAUAUCAGAGGAAACUCACUAAUUUUAUAGAGGUGAGCAAACACUGCUCUGCAGUGUGAUUCUUUAGUAUCUUUUGUGAAGUUUUUUAAAAUUGGUUUAUACUGGUAUGGACAAGGUGUCUGGCAAUGAGUCCCUGCCUAAGGCUGCAGUAAGUGUAGCUUUUCCUUCUGCGCUAGACUGAAUUUCAUCUGAAUGUAAAAGGUGGGCAGCAGGAGAUGGACAUGUUUAGAAAGGGGAAAUGGCUAACAUUUUUCAUUGCUAUAGUGAAAAAGAGAAAGUGUAAAAAAACAAUGAGAAUAUGGAACAUUUCCUUCUGCUGGCAAUGUAACAGCAGCAGUCUAUGAACAGAGGAGUUUGGGUAACAUUCUGCAUCCAUACCAGCCAGCAAACCAUUGGUGCCAAAGAACCACAGGUUGGCCUAGUCUCCCUCCUCUUUGAUGGUGCCUUUCAGUCUUACUCCCUUCACCCUGCUUGCAGGAAAAUGAGAGCAGGUUCCUGUGCAAACAAUGUUUUUUACAAAAGUUUUGGUUUAGCUCAAAUGUAUAAAAAGACUUAAGGCUGACAAGUACCUCUUAACAGAAAGAGGAAUGGGCAAAGUUUAAACAGCAGCUAAUACAGAAGGUCUCAAAUGACAUUAUUUUUAGAAUAACCAAUUCUUUAUAAAAUAUUCAGAAGACACAGACAAUAUACACAAAAUAUAUACAAAUAAUCCAACUAUAUACAAAUAAUCAAUGGAUUAUUUGAUCUUUGCAGGCUUUAUUUUAGAUAUGCAUGGAGCUUUCCAUGAAGUUGAGAAGCAAUUUAUGGUGAACCUUAGAAGAGCAUAGUUUUUCUUUCCAUUCACAGACCAUUCCCCUAGCUUUUGCUGGAAGCAAAACUAAGUCAGGAUACUCCACAGUUCAGAAGACUUGGCACCACUGAUUACUAUACAUGGAUCAAGAAUAAAGGACCUUUGAAGGUCCAUACAGAGUAAAACCUUUGGAGUAUUUCUACUGUACAUGAAUUAAAUCUCCCAAAUAAGGCCGUCAACAAACCGAAAUAAGUCCAUGAAGUCUUCUUAAAUUAAAAUGGUGUGUAUGUAUGAAUGGAUAGAAUUUUACUUUUUCUAGACCAAUCACUGUUAUAUGACCAAUAAUCAAAAUUUCACUACUUAGCACACAGAUUUUCUGUCUGUGAUUCCUAAUUCAGAUUUUGAAUUUGAACUACAAUAUAAAGCAUAAAAUAUCCAUCCAAUGCUAAAGCAUCUGAUGUGGCUAAUUGUUCUGCCUUCAGAGUCAGAUAAAUUUGAGGAUAACAUGUACAGAAUUACUGCAUGAGUUACGUUUAGUUUCACAUGGAGUUCAGUUUUGAUGUUUGUGUAGAAAGUUCCAGAUGAGUCUCAGAAGCAAAUGAGAGAUAUUUCCCCUUUGUCACUUACUUCCCCCAUAGCACACCUUCCUGCUCAGAGCAGACCAUGGCUGAAAUCUCCUUGGUGCAGACAGUAACACCCUACCUUGUCUUUGAGAGCCACAGCUUUAAACGAUCUGCCCACGCAUCCAGACUCAAGUAAGAUCUUGUUGAGAUGCUCCAAGAGGCAAUUAUCCUUUAGGAGUAAAAAUGGUCAUCACAUUGUUUUUAAAACCUUCUCUAGUAUUCUUAUAUAGAUUUUUAACAUUUAAGCUUUGAAGUUUCACUUCUGUAGCAAAGAGAAAGAAGGGGUCAGUGACCAUGAACAGUUUCUCCUCAGGAUUAAUAUCAACAUUGAAAAUGAAUAUUCUUUCAGUCAUCACUUGUACCAGUAAACCAUAUGUAAAUUUUGGAAAAUACCAUUUUUCAUUACAAGAUUGCUUUCUUCCUGUACUUGGACCAUAGGAAUUGUUGAAAUACAUUCAGAUUCUGCAGUUUCAACUGUUAUUCAAGAAUAGAGAGCAUGAGAUAUUUUUUAAAUGGUGUACACAAUCAAAAUAAUAUUAAAAAAGUCUUCAGGUUUUUGCAUAAAUCUAAAUAACAAGUGGUUGACUCAUUCCAUGAGGCUUGAAGAUUAUUUCACUCUGGGUCUUUAUGCAUAAGCCAAGCUUAGUUCUCUUUUCAUCAGACCAAUCUUUUGCUCUUCCUGCUUCAUGCACUGGAAUUCCACAGAUGCACCACACAGCCAGCACACUGCACAGGCCACAUGUACAACUGAGUCUCUCUUUGCAUGGUUCAUUUCAAGAUGCCAGUGUUUGCCAAUGGACACCACUAUCAAAAAUUUGGAUCUGAUAUAACAGUCUCCACUUUUUCUUUGGAGAUAUGUGUGGGAUUCUAUCAAUACACAACUUCUUAAUUCAUAGACAAAAUGGCACUUCUUACUUAGCUCUUAUCAUUGUCCCUGCCUUAGGUAAUUUACUGUGAGUGAAUUUUGUUGGUUAAGAAUCUGUACUGAGUUGUACUAUGCAAGAAAGUAUUUUAUAACAGUAAAUGUCAAAAGGUGAUGGAAAAUCAGAACUAAUGGUACUUAAGCAAGCACUUAAUUUUCAUCUUUUGAAAGGGACAUAACCCUUAGUAACGUACAUUGGAAUGUCACAAACAAGAAUGAGGUUAAGGCACUCAUGCAGAUUAGUAAGAUUUUUAUGUGAAGAAAUCAACAAUUGCUGUUUGAAUUUUGAAACUAAACACAAUCAUAUUAAGCCACAAAAAUGCCUGAGGUGUGAUUUAAAUGUUGGUUUUGUAUAGGAAUAGCCAAUCCACCCACACUUCAGCUUUCCAGGACAAAGUGUCAUUGGGGAUGAGGGAGAGAACUCUCUUACAAAUAAACACAGUAGGGAAGGGCAGUCUUACAACCUUCCUGUUAUUUGGAUGCGCUCGGCAGAGUCCGUUCCGUACCACUGAGAUAUGAAAUACUGUGCAGGAAGAGCAAAGAGCAGCAUGGAAAUCUGCAGAGCUGCAGCUGCAUUGAUGUGAGGCAUUCCAACGGGAACUUUUGGCAAAGACACUUCACUGCUCCCUGCUCUGAAAAGAGGAAGAGAAAAAUUUUUAAAAGAGAUGAAAUAAGUAGCUGCAAGCUUUGCUAGAUGUGUCAAACUUAACAGUUUCCUUCAGGUUGCUUUGCUGGUUCACAACAUUAUGUACAAUCUGUACUCAGGCAUUUUGGCUACAGCUGGAGCACACUUAAUUUAGGCCACUUUAACUCCAUUAAAUUUCAUGGUACUUACAAAAGCUAAUAGAAGGCUAAAGUACACAAGACAGAAAAACCUGCUUUUAAGAUUUAUACAGGCAACUCUUUUGUCUGUAAACAGAGAGGGGGGGAAAAAGAAAAGAGGAACUGGGAAUUUGUAUGGUUGUCCAAUUUGCAGUAAAAAGCUGCUGUCCGUGAACCAAAUUAUUUGUGCUGCUUUGUCAUCUGAUUGAGUGCAUUAAACAUGUCUGGCAUACCAGAUUGAUGGCCUCAAAAUUAA
This is an RNA transcript of Melospiza melodia melodia, 6444 nucleotides long. It is a transcript of the gene named interleukin 1 receptor associated kinase 1 binding protein 1, with no coding region annotated. NCBI's taxonomy places the organism in Eukaryota, Metazoa, Chordata, Aves, Passeriformes, Passerellidae. The transcript has 5 exons. The record is from RefSeq and is a predicted model, not a curated record.